This 793-nucleotide ribosomal RNA is filed under the name uncultured archaeon. RNAcentral's name for it is "bacterial SSU rRNA". It matches the Rfam family "Archaeal small subunit ribosomal RNA", at positions 85 to 879 of the family's 1478-position model. The record is from RNAcentral.
ACUGCUCAGUAACACGUGGACAACCUGCCCUUAGGUUGGGUAUAAACCCGGGAAACUGGGUAUAAUACCCGAUAGGUCUCGAUUGCUGGAAUGCAUCGAGAUUUAAAGCUCCGGCGCCUAAGGAUGGGUCUGCGGCCUAUCAGGUAGUAGUGGGUGUAGCGUACCUACUAGCCUACGACGGGUACGGGUUGUGAGAGCAAGAGCCCGGAGAUGGAUUCUGAGACACGAAUCCAGGCCCUACGGGGUGCAGCAGGCGCGAAAACUUUACAAUGCUGGCAACAGCGAUAAGGGAACCUCGAGUGCCAGGUUACAAAUCUGGCUGUCGAGAUGCCUAAAAAGCAUUUCAUAGCAAGGGCCGGGCAAGACCGGUGCCAGCCGCCGCGGUAACACCGGCGGCUCGAGUGGUAACCGUUAUUACUGGGCUUAAAGGGUCCGUAGCUUGAUAAUAGGGUCCCUUGAGAAAUCCGCCGGCUUAACUGGCGGGCGUUCAGGGGAAACUUGUUUUCUAGGGACCGGGAGAGGUGAGGGGUACUGCCGGGGUAGGAGUGAAAUCCUGUAAUCCCGGUGGGACCACCUAUGGCGAAGGCAUCUCACCAGAACGGGUCCGACAGUGAGGGACGAAAGCUGGGGGAGCAAACCGGAUUAGAUAUCCGGGUAGUCCCAGCUGUAAACUAUGUGCGUUAGGUGUGUCAGUGACCACGUGUCACUGAGGUGCCGAAGGGAAACCGUGAAACGCACCGCCUGGGGAGUACGGUCGCAAGGCUGAAACUUAAAGGAAUUGGCGGGGGAGCAC